Long non-coding RNA from Lolium perenne, 1880 nucleotides. RefSeq lists it as uncharacterized. The record is from RefSeq and is a predicted model, not a curated record. NCBI's taxonomy places the organism in Eukaryota, Viridiplantae, Streptophyta, Magnoliopsida, Poales, Poaceae.
GACACUCGCACAGUCCCCUCCUAUCCUGUGCUCGCUGAUGACCCCCUCAUGCGCCAACCUCCUUCUGCCAUUCCCUGUACUCGGGAACGCCACCUGCUUGCUCCGUCACGCCGCUGCCGCUGGUGCCCCGUGCUCUCCAAGAUCUGCCUCUCGUCGGGGGCCAUCAGCAGCGCCUUCACUGAAUUCCGUGGCUCGGCGCCGCCCCCCUGGACUGGACUCCAGAUGGUGCCGCCUCGGACGAAUCCGGGGAGCUCGACUUCGAUGACGACGACGGCCGUGGCGGCGCGCCGAUGCUACAUGGACGAUGCUCGCUGGCUCUGUCAUCCUGUCCUCGCCUUCGUCCUCAGACUCCGCCACACAGAGGACUGGUCACUGGAUGCAUGAUUUGUUGUGGAGUGUCUAUCGAGCCAAAACCUGUGGCGCAUCUUUGAAGGUCCUGGGAUGCGCACCCCAUGGGUAGUCGUCCAUAGAACAUGUGAGGCCUUGCAACUGGAUUCGUCAAAUCGUGCGUCCAAACAUUUAGAGAGUAAGAGCGUUCAGGCUUAUGGUUUCUGCACCAUGUCAUUGGCGGUGAGGGGUUCCUCGACAGCGGGGAUCUGUACAAAUAGCAAGUUCCUAAGAACAAACGGCAUGCGUCUACAUUGGAAGGCAUCGUCAUAGAAAGGCACAAUGCUGGGAUCGCUACAACUUUCAGAUUGCGUAGAUUAGUAGCUGGCGUGGGAGUUGAGUCGGUUUUUCCACUAAGGAGAGUUGUUGCUUCAGCCUAAAGUGGAGCGGGUACCUGUUAUGCUGAAGCUGGUAUUAUCACAUAUUCACGUUGCAUUUGGUCCUGGCGAUUUUAAUGUGAGGAACACCAAUGUUGGUUGCUUGUAAGCCAUGUCUUGCUGGUGAUAUGAAGGCACAAUUCAAUAGGUAGAAAUGGAUCUGCAGAGCCAACGAGUCUUGCAAAUGGGGUUUACAGGAAAUCACUUGGUCAAGGCGCAUAUGGAAAGGUUAUCAAGGUAAGAUUUAGGCCAUGCUUCAAGGAAAUUUUUGUUUAAAAAUAUAUUAAUACGUGAGUCCACAACAUGUAAAACCUAUCCACACAUUUCUUUCCGUACUAAAAUAUGACAACAAGCCAAACAGAGCAUGUUUGACUGUCAAAUGAUAUCAGCUGAGUUUUCAGAUAAUCGAUUUUGAGUAAAAGUGAAAAGAUUUUUCCAUCAGACCGUUCUAUUUUGGUUAACCACAUUUUAAAAUGUCUCAAGGCCACUAUUCUUAUUCAUCUAUUUAUUUGUUUCUUGGCUGCAAUACUUCAGUGUUUGUUGAUUGAUUACCAAGUGAUGUUGUAAUGCACCCUUCGGUUCCUUAGGACUUAAGAGAGAUUCUCUGAAGAAGAAAAACGAAUUCAAUGCUUCUUUUUCGAGAAUUAAGGAGACAAUACUCAAUAUGGAUUAUGAAUACACAAUGACUAUUUGUUGUCAUGUGCAUAACUUUGGAGUUUGAUUCCAUUUUCAUGCAUAUUGAAGGAUCCAGGUUUGUAGAUGACACAUCAAAUUGAUCACAUUACAUUGAUGAUUUUUUUUUCUUAUUGUGGCUACCCAGUAUAGAUGGAUCUUUAGGAGGUCUUCUGUAUAAGUUGAGUUUUGCACACAAAUCAACAAUGGAGCUGUAAUGGUGGAGUUGAAGGUAGAGCUCAGCGGCGUGCCGGUGGGAGGAGGAUUGAUUGGAGAGGCCAGGGAAUUCGGACAUUUCCAUAUGUGCUACCCUUUUCUAUCUGGGGUGAUUGGUCCAUCAUGGUAUAUUUGUUUGAAUUUUAGAUGACAUUGGAUCUGACUGUAGGUGAGCUAAGCAAUGUUGAGCCAGAAGUGCAGACUAGGCACUUGUAUCUAUGUAUGACC